Molecule: non-coding RNA, 73 nt
Filed under: Protocruzia adhaerens
Lineage: Eukaryota; Ciliophora; Spirotrichea
Source: RNAcentral
CAAAAUCAAAGUAGAGAUAAAAAAAGCAAGCAAAAAAAAUUUCAAGAUGUUCAACGGCAGAAACAAGAUUUUG